RNAcentral lists this ribosomal RNA (303 nucleotides) under Triticum aestivum (bread wheat). RNAcentral's name for it is "partial small subunit ribosomal RNA". Lineage: Eukaryota; Viridiplantae; Streptophyta; Magnoliopsida; Poales; Poaceae. The record is from RNAcentral.
AUGCUUGUAAAUGGUUUCCAUCUUGAUGAGCACCUCGAGGAUGAUAUUGUUUGGAAGCACUCGAAUGACGGGAUCUACACGGCGGCCACCGUGUAUAAGGCCCAAUUCCUUGGAUUAACUCUUCCCCCAUGGACCGCAUGGUUUGGAAAGUUUGGGCUCCCCCCAAGGUCAAUUUUUUUGCAUGGUUGGCUCUUCAAGAUAGGAUUUGGACCGCCGAUCGCCUGGAGAGACGGGGUUGAGCAAAUUGUGGCCUUUGCCCUCUCUGCAGAAGGGGCAACAAACGGGUGCACACCUCUUCUUUAA